GAUGAACGCUAGCUACAGGCUUAACACAUGCAAGUCGAGGGGAAGCGAUAUUGGAAGCUUGCUUCCGAUAGGCGUCGACCGGCGCACGGGUGAGUAACGCGUAUCCAACCUGCCCACCACUUGGGGAUAACCUUGCGAAAGUAAGACUAAUACCCAAUGAUAUCUCUAGAAGACAUCUGAAGGAGAUUAAAGAUUUAUCGGUGAUGGAUGGGGAUGCGUCUGAUUAGCUUGUUGGCGGGGUAACGGCCCACCAAGGCGACGAUCAGUAGGGGAUCUAAGAGGAAGUUCCCCCGCAUUGGAACUGAGAAACGGUCCAAACUCAUACGGGAGGCAGCAGUGAGGAAUAUUGGUCAAUGGGCGAGAGCCUGAACCAGCCAAGUAGCGUGCAGGAUGACGGCCCUAUGGGUUGUAAACUGCUUUUAUAAGGGAAUAAAGUGAGCCUCGUGAGGCUUUUUGCAUGUACCUUAUGAAUAAGGACCGGCUAAUUCCGUGCCAGCCGCCGCCGUAA
RNAcentral lists this ribosomal RNA (508 nucleotides) under uncultured bacterium. RNAcentral's name for it is "partial 16S ribosomal RNA". It matches the Rfam family "Bacterial small subunit ribosomal RNA", at positions 28 to 523 of the family's 1533-position model. The record is from RNAcentral.